CGGGCUGUGGCGCAGUUUGGUAGCGCACUGCGUUUGGGACGCAGGGGUCGUCGGUUCAAGUCCGACCAGCCCGA
Molecule: transfer RNA, 74 nt
Filed under: Acidimicrobiia bacterium
Lineage: Bacteria; Bacillati; Actinomycetota; Acidimicrobiia
Also listed under: 1 other name
Description: tRNA-Pro
Rfam family: tRNA
About the family: Transfer RNA (tRNA) molecules are approximately 80 nucleotides in length. Their secondary structure includes four short double-helical elements and three loops (D, anti-codon, and T loops).
Source: RNAcentral